Suricata suricatta (meerkat) is the source of this 107-nucleotide small nuclear RNA. NCBI's taxonomy places the organism in Eukaryota, Metazoa, Chordata, Mammalia, Carnivora, Herpestidae. The record is from Ensembl.
GUGCUUGCUUCAGUAGCACAUAUACUAAAAUUGUAGCAAUACAGAGAAGAUUAGCAUGGCCCCUGCAAAAGGAUGACAUGCAAAUUCAUGAAGUGUUCCAUAGAAAG